GGGGGAAUAUGGCACAAUGGGGGAAACCCUGAUGCAGCGACGCCGCGUGAGAGAAGAAGGUUUUCGAAGCGUAAAGCUCUGUCCGAGGGGAAGAUAAUGACGGUAACAUAGGAGGAAGCCCCGGCUAACUACGGGCCAGGAGCCGCGGUAAUAAGUAGGGGGCAAGCGUUGUCCGGAAUCACUGGGCGUAAAGGGUUCGGAGGCGGAAAUGCAAGUCAGUUGUGAAAGGCAGAGGCUCAACCUCUGUAAGCAAUUGAAACUGUAUUUCUUUAGAUGUGGAGAGGCAAGUGGAAUUCCUAGUGUAGCGGUGAAAUGCGUAGAUAUUAGAAAGAAUACCGGUGGCGAAGGCGCCUUGCUGGACUCAAACUGUCGCUGAGGAACGAAAGCGUGGGUAGCAAACAGG
Molecule: ribosomal RNA, 403 nt
Filed under: Fusobacteriota bacterium
Lineage: Bacteria; Fusobacteriati; Fusobacteriota
Description: Fusobacteria bacterium partial 16S ribosomal RNA
Rfam family: Bacterial small subunit ribosomal RNA
Source: RNAcentral